UACGAAGGGGGCUAGCGUUGCUCGGAAUCACUGGGCGUAAAGGGCGCGUAGGCGGCCAUUCAAGUCAGAGGUGAAAGCCCAAGGCUCAACCUUGGAACUGCCUUUGAUACUGUUUGGCUUGAGACCGGUAGAGGUAAGUGGAACUGCGAGUGUAGAGGUGAAAUUCGUAGAUAUUCGCAAGAACACCAGUGGCGAAGGCGGCUCACUGGCCCGAUACUGACGCUGAGGUGCGAAAGCGUGGGGAGCAAACAGG
Molecule: ribosomal RNA, 253 nt
Filed under: uncultured bacterium
Lineage: Bacteria
Description: partial 16S ribosomal RNA
Rfam family: Bacterial small subunit ribosomal RNA
Source: RNAcentral